Molecule: transfer RNA, 87 nt
Filed under: Oscillospiraceae bacterium
Lineage: Bacteria; Bacillati; Bacillota; Clostridia; Eubacteriales; Oscillospiraceae
Description: tRNA-Leu
Rfam family: tRNA
About the family: Transfer RNA (tRNA) molecules are approximately 80 nucleotides in length. Their secondary structure includes four short double-helical elements and three loops (D, anti-codon, and T loops).
Source: RNAcentral
GCGGAUAUGGCGGAAUUGGUAUACGCGUAUGGUUCAGGUCCAUAUGGGCUUUAGUUCGUGCAGGUUCAAGUCCUGUUAUCCGCACCA